This 406-nucleotide ribosomal RNA is filed under the name uncultured bacterium. RNAcentral's name for it is "partial 16S ribosomal RNA". It matches the Rfam family "Bacterial small subunit ribosomal RNA", at positions 30 to 526 of the family's 1533-position model. The record is from RNAcentral.
AUUGAACGCUGGCGGCAGGCCUAACACAUGCAAGUCGAACGAGUGGCGGACGGGUGAGUAAUUUCUGGGGAACUGCCUGAUGGAGGGGGAUAACUACUGGAAACGGUACCUCAUACCGCAUACCAUCAGAUGUGCCCAUAUGGGAUUAGCUAGUUGGUGGGGUAACGGCUCACCAAGGCGACGAUCCCUAGCUGGUCUGAGAGGAUUACCGGCCACACUGGGACUGAGACACGGUCCAGACUCCUACGGGAGGCAGCAGUGGGGAAUAUUGCACAAUGGGCGCAAGCCUGAUGCAGCCAUGCCGCGUGUAUGAAGAAGGCCUUCGGGUUGUAAAGUACUUUCAGCGGGGAGGCGUUACCCGCAGAAGAAGCACCGGCUAACUCCGUGCCAGCAGCCGCGGUAAUUC